This 253-nucleotide ribosomal RNA is filed under the name uncultured bacterium. RNAcentral describes it as "partial 16S ribosomal RNA". It matches the Rfam family "Bacterial small subunit ribosomal RNA", at positions 524 to 776 of the family's 1533-position model. The record is from RNAcentral.
UACGUAGGGGGCUAGCGUUGUCCGGAAUCAUUGGGCGUAAAGAGCGUGUAGGCGGCCCGGUAAGUCCGCUGUAAAAGUCAAAGGCUCAACCUUUGAAUGUCAGUGGAUACUGCCGGGCUAGAGUCCGGAAGAGGCGAGUGGAACUCCUGGUGUAGCGGUGAAAUGCGCAGAUAUCAGGAGGAACACCGGUGGCGAAGGCGGGACUCUGGGCCGAUACUGACGCUGAGGAGCGAAAGCGUGGGGAGCAAACAGG